GACGAACGCUGGCGGCGUGCUUAACACAUGCAAGUCGAACGAACAGGCCCUGCUCUUGUGGGGUGCUCGAGUGGCGAACGGGGGAGUAACACGUGAGUAACCUGCCCUUGACUUUGGGGUAACUUCAGGAAACUGGGGCUAAUACCGGGUAGAAGCUCCUGCUGCAUGGUGGGGGUUGGAAAGAUUCGGCGGUUGGGGAUGGACUCGCGGGUUAUCAGCUUGUUUGUGUGGUAGUGGCGUACCAAGGGUUUGACGGGUAGCCCGCCUGAGAGGGGGACCGGCGACAUGGGGACUGAGAGACGGCCCAGAAUCCUACGGGAGGCAGCAGUGGGGAAUAUUGCACAACGGGCGGAAGCCUGAGGCAGAAACGCCGCGUGCGGGAUGACGGCCUUCGGGUUGUAAACCGCUGUCGCCUGUGACGAAGCGUGAGUGACGGUAAUGGGUAAAGAAGCACCGGCUAACUACGUG
This 468-nucleotide ribosomal RNA is filed under the name uncultured bacterium. Its description in RNAcentral is "partial 16S ribosomal RNA". It matches the Rfam family "Bacterial small subunit ribosomal RNA", at positions 28 to 507 of the family's 1533-position model. The record is from RNAcentral.